AGGAUGUUGGGGUCUGCUUUCUUUUAAAGGUAGAGGGGGGAAGCAAAGGAAAAGAAGAUAUAGGAGAGAGAAAGAGAGAGAAAGAUAAUGGAAGAACAUCUCAGCCCAUUAGCUGUGACUCAUCUGCUUCAACACACCCUGCGAAGCUUGUGUAUUCAUGAAAACUCCCAAUGGCUUUAUGCUGUCUUUUGGAGGAUCUUGCCAAGGAAUUACCCACCACCCAAAUGGGAUGGUCAAGGAGCCUAUGACAGGUCUAGAGGAAACAGAAGAAACUGGAUAUUGGUUUGGGAAGACGGUUUCUGCAACUUUUUUGCAUCAGCUGCAGAGAUCAACUCUAGUGAUUGUCCAAGUUCAUCUGUUUAUGACAACUGUGAAUUUCAACCCUAUCAAGGGCUUCAACCGGAGCUCUUCUUCAAGAUGUCUCAUGAAAUCUACAGUUACGGAGAAGGAUUGAUUGGUAAAGUAGCUGCUGAUCAUAGUCAUAAGUGGAUACACAAAGAACCGAAUCAUCAAGAAAUCAACUUCUUGUCAUCGUGGCGUAACUCAUCUGAUUCAGUAACCAGAUCUCUUUCCUACAUGUUUAGAAACAAGUUUAUGUGAUUUCAUGCUGUUUUCUUUUUCCCUACAAAGAAAAAUGGGUUCAUUUAACUUUCUCAUUAUAUAUGUUUUCUUACACAGCAUCCUAGGACAUGGGAAGCCCAGUUCCAAUCUGGUAUAAAGACCAUAGCCCUGAUUGCAGUUAGAGAAGGUGUUGUUCAACUAGGAGCUGUCCACAAGGUAAUUGAAGACCUGAGCUAUGUAGUUCUACUAAGAAAGAAAUUCAGCUACAUAGAAAGCAUUCCUGGAGUGCUCUUGCCACAUCCAUCAUCAUCAGCAUUCCCUUACAACGUGAACGGAUAUGGCACACCAGAGGCAUGGCACUACCAGAACACUAUUGCACCACCAACAGAGUUCUAUGACCACUUCAGUCAAGUCCCAUUCAAGAUAACACCCUCCAUGAGCAGCCUUGAAGCUCUACUCUCCAAGCUACCAUCAGUGGUGCCACCUCCACAGCCAGUUUCAGGCUACUGUACUGAGUCACAGCCACAGUCAGAGUCCCCGUACCUACCCAUGGAGUACAUGGGCAUGGAAAAGAUGGCGAAGGAGGAGAUUGAUGAAGAUUAUAGAGGGGAACAUGACACAGGGGAGAGUAGCAGUUCAAUGUCAGCUUAUCAUAGACAGCAAUUUCAACACCAGCACCACCAAGAUUUGAAUGUUAGUAGUAGCAGACCCAACAACGCGUACUUUGAGUGAAGGCGAUUUGGGUAUGUACGUAGGAAUGAGAAUUGAUUUCUAGGGUCUAGCGUUGUAAGGUAUUUAGUUUCAGUUUCAUUUGAUGUUUCAACUGAGGUUUUAGGUAACUUAGCUUUGGUUGUGGAAGCUAUGCUAGUCGUAGAUUUUUUCUGGAUUAAUUCCUAGUAUAUAUGAAUAUGAUACAUUACGGAUAUGCCCAAUUGCACAAGUAUUUGAUAUAAUUAAUGUGCCUAGUGUUUCUUAAUUGCUAUCCAUGCUAUGCUCUGCUGACUUGCUAUAUU
Molecule: unclassified non-coding RNA, 1574 nt
Filed under: Hevea brasiliensis (rubber tree)
Lineage: Eukaryota; Viridiplantae; Streptophyta; Magnoliopsida; Malpighiales; Euphorbiaceae
Source: RNAcentral